CAAUAGCGUAUAUUGAACUUGUUGCGGUUAAAAAAGCUCGUAGUUGGAUUUCUGCCGAGGACGACCGGUCCGCCCUCUGGGUGAGUAUCUGGCUCGGCCUGGGCAUCUUCUUGGAGAACGUAUCUGCACUUGACUGUGUGGUGCGGUAUCCAGGACUUUUACUUUGAGGGAAUUACAAUGUUUCAAGCAGGCAUACGCCUUGAAUACAUUAGCAUGGAAUAAUGAUAUAGGACUUUGGUUCUAUUUUGUUGGUUGUUCGAGAACCGAAGUAAUGAUUGAUAGGGACAGUUGGGGGGCAUCAGUAUUCUGAAGCGAGAGGUGAAAUUCUUGGACCUUCGGAAGACUAACAACUGCGAAAGCAUUUGCCUAGGAUGUUCUCUUUAAUCAAGAACGAAAGUUGGGGGAUCGAAGACGAUUAGAUACCA
RNAcentral lists this ribosomal RNA (425 nucleotides) under uncultured eukaryote. RNAcentral describes it as "SSU rRNA". It matches the Rfam family "Eukaryotic small subunit ribosomal RNA", at positions 592 to 1017 of the family's 1831-position model. The record is from RNAcentral.